UGACGGUACCCGAGAAGGAAGCCCCGGCUAACUACGUGCCAGCAGCCGCGGUAAUACGUAGGGGGCAAGCGUUAUCCGGAUUUACUGGGUGUAAAGGGAGCGUAGACGGCGAUGCAAGUCUGAUGUGAAAGGCUGGGGCUCAACCCCGGGACUGCAUUGGAAACUGUAUUGCUGGAGUGCCGGAGAGGUAAGCGGAAUUCCUAGUGUAGCGGUGAAAUGCGUAGAUAUUAGGAGGAACACCAGUGGCGAAGGCGGCUUACUGGACGGUAACUGACGUUGAGGCUCGAAAGCGUGGGGAGCAAACAGGAUUAGAUACCCUG
This 320-nucleotide ribosomal RNA is filed under the name uncultured bacterium. Its description in RNAcentral is "bacterial SSU rRNA". It matches the Rfam family "Bacterial small subunit ribosomal RNA", at positions 470 to 789 of the family's 1533-position model. The record is from RNAcentral.